AGUACCAACAUGACUUAGAGAGCUGUGUCUUCAAUAGAUUUCCCUCCAAUGUGGAGAACACAUUAACAUAACAUAGUAAUUGGUAUACGAUUUCCUAUACAGAGACAUGAUCAACAAGCUCACGCCCCUUGGUCUCAACUGGAAAGAGCAGAACACUAAUUGCUGAUAAAAUAACAACCACUUCAAAUAAAAUGAUUGCAGCCAUCUGGUGGCAACCUCUAACCAAUUGCACUGCAACUAUAGGAGAGACCAUCCCUGCAAUUCUCCCCACAGCACUUGCAACUCCACAACCAGUUGAUCUAACUGAGGUUGGAUAAAUCUCUGGACAAUAAACACCAGCAAGGGUGAAGGUCCCUAUGAACCAGAUACGAGCUCCAAAUAGCAAUGCUGUUGUUAAUGCCUCAUUCUGAGGUACAACAAGCGGAAAAAGGAAUAGGGACCCGAAGAUAUACAUCAGUGCCAUUGAAUAUUUCCGACCAACUUUCUCCACCACUACAGCUGAAAUAAGAAGCCCAGGAAGCUCAGCAAGGCUAGUGAUGAACACGUCUGUAUAGAGGCUUGAAUCAUUUUUCACAUGCAAAGCAACUGAGAAGCAUCUAUUUUCCCCAGCACUAAACUGUGAUGUCAGCAAUAUAAUGCCAUAAUAGGCAAAUGAAUUUCCAAAAUAAACCACCCACAUGAGGAGGGUAAUUCGUAGUAAUUGUGGGGAUAAAAGCAUCAGGGAUGAAGACAAUCCUGUCUUAAAAUUGAAGAUUUUGUUGG
RNAcentral lists this unclassified non-coding RNA (762 nucleotides) under Hevea brasiliensis (rubber tree). The record is from RNAcentral. Lineage: Eukaryota; Viridiplantae; Streptophyta; Magnoliopsida; Malpighiales; Euphorbiaceae.